Musa acuminata subsp. malaccensis (wild Malaysian banana) is the source of this 221-nucleotide non-coding RNA. The record is from Rfam. NCBI's taxonomy places the organism in Eukaryota, Viridiplantae, Streptophyta, Magnoliopsida, Zingiberales, Musaceae.
UCUUUCAUUACUUGAAUAGGAUCUGUUCUAUAAGCUCGAGCAACUGUUUCCUCGAGUGCGAAGUAGACAGGCAUCAAAAUCUCGUUGAUGACACAAGACCUCAAGAUCAUAGCAUGACUAACAGCUGAGAUCUUGCGAGAUCAAGGCUAUAGAGAGUCAUUCUCAACUAGUCAGCUAGUCUUAGCACCUGUUGGGUUGAUCCUAGGGUUGUCUGAAAGACC